This is a long non-coding RNA of Coregonus clupeaformis (lake whitefish), 953 nucleotides long. RefSeq lists it as uncharacterized. Lineage: Eukaryota; Metazoa; Chordata; Actinopteri; Salmoniformes; Salmonidae. The record is from RefSeq and is a predicted model, not a curated record. The transcript has 3 exons.
AUGACUCCAACCUAAGUGUAUGUAAACUUCCAACUUCAACUGUACAUCAAGUAUAUAACGCUAUGCACUUCGGUCUCAAAGUACUUUAAACAGUAUUCAGCACAAUACUACAUAAGGAGGACCUCCCUGAAAGUGAUUACUAUUGAGUGUGGCAUACUUCACAUUGCAUUGUCACACUGCCCUGAGACUUUCCUCGACAACCCUUGUUGGAGAACCGGCGCACUAAUGAUUUCUAUGUAAAUAAUUAUCCCAGUUACUGGACUACCGACAACUGCUGAGCACUCUAGCACAAAAUGGCUGCUAAUCACCAAGUUGGCUGCUAUACACAUUGGAGGGGAAUGGGGUGAGUGACCCAUACAAUGUAAAGUACUUGUAGAGGUGAUCAAGUUUAAGAUAUUUAAAUAGAAUCCCUUACUAUCGCAAUGACUAGCACCUGAACCAUCCCUUUAGACAAUCCCCUCUUUCCCCAACACAGUUUUAUUGAGCUAAGGAUCCAUACCACUACUAGCUAGCAAACUAAUUGUCAAUGCAGAGAGAUCCCCUAGACAGCCCCCGGAGGUCCCAGUGCUGUGUUGUACAUGUCGGUUCUGCUGUGUCAAUUGGUUUCCCCUCGAGGCAGAAGCAUAGUGUGAGGCAGCACUUACAUUAUUCAGAGCUAACAUGAGAUGCGUAUGUGCGUGUGUGUGUGCGUGCGUAUGUGUGUGUGUGCGUGUGUGUGUGUGUGAGGGAGAGCAGGUGCGAAGGAGACCAGAGCAGGCGCAUCACAGCAUCAGAUGAAAGAAGGGAAGAGAAACCUGUCAAGACAAGAGGUGGGGUCCCUCCUGUGCUACCCUAUUCCCUCAACCGACCAGUGCAGAGGGAGUCAUCAUCGUGCUAACCGCCUGACUCCAUCGGGCUGUUUUUGAUCACCCGCCUGAGGAUCGAGAGGCGGGCGAACGACUGGUUCAUCUAAG